Molecule: long non-coding RNA, 1254 nt
Organism: Esox lucius (northern pike)
Lineage: Eukaryota; Metazoa; Chordata; Actinopteri; Esociformes; Esocidae
Source: Ensembl
GGGGAACUAACCAUUCCCCAGGACCACAAGGUCACAACAGUACAAAAAGUACUGGUGCAGUCGCAGCACAAAGUUGUCCUACAGACGAGUGGCUUGCUGGCUAGCUAACAUGCCACACGGGUCAAGGCAAUAAGGGAAACGCUCGUGUCAAAGUGACGUCAUACUCACUCUGGACUCAAGACAUUUAAAGUAACAGCUAAGCAACCUUGCUAACUGUGGCAGUAAGUUGUUCUGUACAACUGGAAACCCCGGCCGGGGGGGGGUUAACACUUUUCAUUGAAAACUUGUUUUGAGAAGUUUAGCAGUGUACUGGAAAAACUAUUGGGUCCUAUACAACAUCACUGGGAGCAACCUUGAUGUCAGGGAUACAAUCUACUCAGUCGGGAGAGAAGAAGUGUCCCGCGCGCUGCAGCGCAUGCUGUCUGCAUGAAGUCACAAAGACAGGAGCAGCGCCAACAGUCCAGUCGUAGAUGUGGAGGAACAGAGGCACCGAUGAUGGGUGCACAACAGGGAAUUGGAGGAAGGACAACAACGGACAGCCUCCAUAGCCUGACAGAAAAGUUAUGCACUUCGAAACUAGUUAGGUCUUGGCAAAAACAUGUUUCUCGUCAACAAAGGCGUGUGCAUAAUCUCUGUGGACUCAUCUUACCAUCCACGGGCUUGAAUGUGUUCCUCGUUAUCAACAAAGUUGUAAGAAAUCUUUCCCCCCCCAAAGUGUCUACAGUAAACAGACACAACCCAGAGUUCCAUGACAUCACCUGCACUCGCAGAGUUUGUUUAUAGUGAACUGCAUGAAUCAUUGUUAUCAGGAGAACAAUGUACAUAUAUUAAUGAGGUAGGCUGAGGUUUAAUGAACUUGCUAUUGUGUAGACAUGGAAAAACAGAGUUGAAGAGUAAAAUAAAAUGCUAUGGAGCAAAUGGAAACUAGUCGUAGCGUGUGACGUUCUGUUCCAUUUGGUACAUUCCAGCCAUGACUCUGAUCCAGCCCUCAUCAAUUAAGGUGCCGUUUAGUCACACGUUACUGUUACAAAAGUGAAAUGUCACUAUUUUGACAUACUCCAAUGAGAUUAUGUUGGCUGGUGAGCUGAGUUAACUCAGACACAAAGGAGCAACAUCUUCCUAAAUGACAUCACACUGGGCCUAUCUACUGACUACGUGCACAUGCCUUCCUUACAUCACCUUUCCAGUCUUAUUAAAUAACUUCCAUUAAAUCCUCAGCAUCGUUUAAUGAUUACAGCUUAAUUGAAACUUGGG